AGGAGAGAGCUAGACUUCCAGGU
RNAcentral lists this unclassified non-coding RNA (23 nucleotides) under Mus musculus (house mouse). RNAcentral's name for it is "oocyte_clustered_small_RNA611". The record is from RNAcentral. Lineage: Eukaryota; Metazoa; Chordata; Mammalia; Rodentia; Muridae.